Molecule: transfer RNA, 93 nt
Filed under: Staphylococcus epidermidis
Lineage: Bacteria; Bacillati; Bacillota; Bacilli; Caryophanales; Staphylococcaceae
Also listed under: 36 other names
Description: tRNA-Ser
Rfam family: tRNA
About the family: Transfer RNA (tRNA) molecules are approximately 80 nucleotides in length. Their secondary structure includes four short double-helical elements and three loops (D, anti-codon, and T loops).
Source: RNAcentral
GGAGGAAUACCCAAGUCCGGCUGAAGGGAUCGGUCUUGAAAACCGACAGGAGUGUAAAAGCUCGCAGGGGUUCGAAUCCCCUUUCCUCCUCCA